GUUUCUUUGUGACAAUCUGGAUUGCCGUGCUGAUGUCAAAGUAAAAUUAUAGGGACAAUAUUCCAUGAAGUUUCCCCAUCUAUCAUGAUGGUGGAAGUGGAACUAUAUAGAGCAGCUGGAGAUACUUGAGAGUAUAACAAGGAUGUCCUUUCACAUGAUUCUAUGAUUACCCGAGUCCAUGAAGCAAUCAAUAAUCUUCCUGAAAUAUUUUAUGUCUAAGCGCACAAUGAUUGAACAAUUGCCUCAAUAAAUUUGGUUAUGUAGCAUGCGGAUGAGACGAGACAAGUAUGCCUCAAUAAAUUUGUAAAUUAAACUACUGACUUUGAGCACUAUGAGUUAUUGGAACUAUGUUCAAAUGGAUGAUUGCAAAAAUAUUAUCCUUUUUUUAUGUUGUUGUACUGUUAUAUAAAUAAAAAAAAUUAGCUCA
Long non-coding RNA from Triticum aestivum (bread wheat), 427 nucleotides. RefSeq lists it as uncharacterized. The transcript has 3 exons. The record is from RefSeq and is a predicted model, not a curated record. NCBI's taxonomy places the organism in Eukaryota, Viridiplantae, Streptophyta, Magnoliopsida, Poales, Poaceae.